RNAcentral lists this ribosomal RNA (427 nucleotides) under uncultured bacterium. RNAcentral's name for it is "partial 16S ribosomal RNA". It matches the Rfam family "Bacterial small subunit ribosomal RNA", at positions 355 to 774 of the family's 1533-position model. The record is from RNAcentral.
UGGGGAAUAUUGGACAAUGGGGGCAACCCUGAUCCAGCCAUGCCGCGUGUGUGAAGAAGGCCUUUUGGUUGUAAAGCACUUUAAGCAGUGAAGAAGACUCCAUGGUUAAUACCCAUGGACGAUGACAUUAGCUGCAGAAUAAGCACCGGCUAACUCUGUGCCAGCAGCCGCGGUAAUACAGAGGGUGCAAGCGUUAAUCGGAAUUACUGGGCGUAAAGCGAGCGUAGGUGGCUUGAUAAGUCAGAUGUGAAAGCCCCGGGCUUAACCUGGGAACGGCAUCUGAUACUGUUAGGCUAGAGUAGGUGAGAGGAAGGUAGAAUUCCAGGUGUAGCGGUGAAAUGCGUAGAGAUCUGGAGGAAUACCGAUGGCGAAGGCAGCCUUCUGGCAUCAUACUGACACUGAGGUUCGAAAGCGUGGGGAGCAAACA